This 402-nucleotide long non-coding RNA is filed under the name Ananas comosus (pineapple). RNAcentral describes it as "long non-coding RNA (ACOM_LNC024820)". Lineage: Eukaryota; Viridiplantae; Streptophyta; Magnoliopsida; Poales; Bromeliaceae. The record is from RNAcentral.
AUCAUAUUCUCACUUCUAUAUACGUAUAAAUAAAUAUUACAUUUUCACACUUGUGAGUUCUCAAUGUGUAUAGCAUUUCUAUCUAUGAUACAACGUUCUUUUAGUAAUGAGUAUUGUAUAGAGGUUUAUAUACAUACAAACCUCUAUACAAUACUCAUCAUAUUCUCACUUCUAUAUACGUAUAAAUAAAUAUUACAUUUUCACACUUGUGAGUUCUCAAUGUGUAUAGCAUUUCUAUCUAUGAUACAACGUUCUUUUAGUAAUGAGUAUUGUAUAGAGGUUUAUAUACAUACAAUAAAUCAUGAUAUAUUAUACAGGUAUUCAUGGUAUAAUAUUUUCAUCUAUCUAUCGUACGUAUCUGCGGAGAUAGUUGACACGAGCCGGAUGCUUGAGCUUCAUGAG